RNAcentral lists this ribosomal RNA (711 nucleotides) under uncultured cyanobacterium. RNAcentral's name for it is "bacterial SSU rRNA". It matches the Rfam family "Bacterial small subunit ribosomal RNA", at positions 66 to 823 of the family's 1533-position model. The record is from RNAcentral. Lineage: Bacteria; Bacillati; Cyanobacteriota.
ACGGGCUCUUCGGAGCUAGUGGCGGACGGGUGAGUAACGCGUGAGAAUCUGGCUUCAGGUUCGGGACAACAGUUGGAAACGGCUGCUAAUACCGGAUGUGCCUAAGGGUGAAAGAUUUAUCACCUGAAGAUGAGCUCGCGUCUGAUUAGCUAGUAGGUGUGGUAAGAGCGCACCUAGGCGACGAUCAGUAGCUGGUCUGAGAGGAUGAUCAGCCACACUGGGACUGAGACACGGCCCAGACUCCUACGGGAGGCAGCAGUGGGGAAUUUUCCGCAAUGGGCGAAAGCCUGACGGAGCAAUACCGCGUGAGGGAGGAAGGCUCUUGGGUUGUAAACCUCUUUUCUCAGGGAAGAAUGAUGACGGUACCUGAGGAAUAAGCAUCGGCUAACUCCGUGCCAGCAGCCGCGGUAAUACGGAGGAUGCAAGCGUUAUCCGGAAUGAUUGGGCGUAAAGCGUCCGCAGGUGGCAAUGUAAGUCUGCUGUCAAAGCGUCUGGCUCAACCAGAUAAAGGCAGUGGAAACUACAUAGCUAGAGUAAGGUAGGGGUAGAGGGAAUUCCUGGUGUAGCGGUGAAAUGCGUAGAGAUCAGGAAGAACACCGGUGGCGAAAGCGCUCUGCUGGACCUUAACUGACACUGAGGGACGAAAGCUAGGGGAGCGAAUGGGAUUAGAUACCCCAGUAGUCCUAGCCGUAAACGAUGGAUACUAGGCGU